GCAGCGAUGUCCGACUGGUUAAGAAGAUUAAGUGGAAAUCAAUUCGGCUUCGCCCGCGCAGGUUCGAAUCCUGUUCGCUGCG
RNAcentral lists this transfer RNA (82 nucleotides) under Necator americanus (New World hookworm). It matches the Rfam family "tRNA". Rfam says of the family: Transfer RNA (tRNA) molecules are approximately 80 nucleotides in length. Their secondary structure includes four short double-helical elements and three loops (D, anti-codon, and T loops). Further hydrogen bonds mediate the characteristic L-shaped molecular structure. tRNAs have two regions of fundamental functional importance: the anti-codon, which is responsible for specific mRNA codon recognition, and the 3' end, to which the tRNAs corresponding amino acid is attached (by aminoacyl-tRNA synthetases). tRNAs cope with the degeneracy of the genetic code in two manners: having more than one tRNA (with a specific anti-codon) for a particular amino acid; and 'wobble' base-pairing, i.e. permitting non-standard base-pairing at the 3rd anti-codon position. The record is from Rfam by way of RNAcentral. Lineage: Eukaryota; Metazoa; Nematoda; Chromadorea; Rhabditida; Ancylostomatidae.